UACAGAGGUCUCAAGCGUUGUUCGGAUUCAUUGGGCGUAAAGGGUGUGUAGGUGGCGCCGUAAGUCGGGUGUGAAAUUUCGGAGCUUAACUCCGAAACUGCAUUCGAUACUGCGGUGCUUGAGGACUGGAGAGGAGACUGGAAUUCAUGGUGUAGCAGUGAAAUGCGUAGAGAUCAUGAGGAAGACCAGUGGCGAAGGCGGCUACCUGGACCGGUACUGACGCUGAUGCGCGAAAGCUAGGGUAGCAAACAGG
Molecule: ribosomal RNA, 253 nt
Filed under: uncultured bacterium
Lineage: Bacteria
Description: partial 16S ribosomal RNA
Rfam family: Bacterial small subunit ribosomal RNA
Source: RNAcentral